RNAcentral lists this ribosomal RNA (675 nucleotides) under Bacillus licheniformis. RNAcentral's name for it is "bacterial SSU rRNA". It matches the Rfam family "Bacterial small subunit ribosomal RNA", at positions 56 to 713 of the family's 1533-position model. The record is from RNAcentral. Lineage: Bacteria; Bacillati; Bacillota; Bacilli; Caryophanales; Bacillaceae.
UGCAGUCGAGCGGACCGACGGGAGCUUGCUCCCUUAGGUCAGCGGCGGACGGGUGAGUAACACGUGGGUAACCUGCCUGUAAGACUGGGAUAACUCCGGGAAACCGGGGCUAAUACCGGAUGCUUGAUUGAACCGCAUGGUUCAAUCAUAAAAGGUGGCUUUUAGCUACCACUUACAGAUGGACCCGCGGCGCAUUAGCUAGUUGGUGAGGUAACGGCUCACCAAGGCGACGAUGCGUAGCCGACCUGAGAGGGUGAUCGGCCACACUGGGACUGAGACACGGCCCAGACUCCUACGGGAGGCAGCAGUAGGGAAUCUUCCGCAAUGGACGAAAGUCUGACGGAGCAACGCCGCGUGAGUGAUGAAGGUUUUCGGAUCGUAAAACUCUGUUGUUAGGGAAGAACAAGUACCGUUCGAAUAGGGCGGCACCUUGACGGUACCUAACCAGAAAGCCACGGCUAACUACGUGCCAGCAGCCGCGGUAAUACGUAGGUGGCAAGCGUUGUCCGGAAUUAUUGGGCGUAAAGCGCGCGCAGGCGGUUUCUUAAGUCUGAUGUGAAAGCCCCCGGCUCAACCGGGGAGGGUCAUUGGAAACUGGGGAACUUGAGUGCAGAAGAGGAGAGUGGAAUUCCACGUGUAGCGGUGAAAUGCGUAGAGAUGUGGAGGAACACCAGU